Medicago truncatula (barrel medic) is the source of this 5587-nucleotide RNA transcript. It is a transcript of the gene named ABC transporter C family member 12, with no coding region annotated. The record is from RefSeq and is a predicted model, not a curated record. NCBI's taxonomy places the organism in Eukaryota, Viridiplantae, Streptophyta, Magnoliopsida, Fabales, Fabaceae. The transcript is spliced from 28 exons.
UUUGAGAUUCAUUUAUGAUAAGAUUUUGACCCAUCUUAAUUAAAUUUCUAGUUCCGUCCCUGUAUUCAGAGACAAUCAAACAUAGCAAUCUCUAAAUAUUCUCUGAUAUGUGUAUCUGUGGUUGAUUUUCUAUUAUGUGGUAAGUGAGAUCCUUAUGUCACGUGAUAAAUGAUAGUAAGUGGUAGUGUCUGACGUAAAUAAUAUCAUGUCAUCACUGACCAUGUGGAAGUUGACAAGUUGUGACCAUUCCUUGUCCAAAUCAUUUGUUAUUUAUAUCUGUCAGUUAGCAACAUUCUGAGAUACUAUGCCACUGUACUUUCCACUAUCAUUUUUGCUGCAGAAAAAAAGUAGUAGUGAAUGGUCAUAAAAAAGUAAUGGUGGAAGUAGAACAAAAGAACUGAACAAGUCUUGUUUUCAUAUGAAAAAAUGGAAAAAUCUAAGACUCAUUCUUUUCCUACAAACUCAAGACUUACCUUACUUUACAAGUAACUGAGUUCAAUGAUGGUUUUCUGUUCUGAAGCAACAAGUUAGUUACUCUUCAUUCUUGUGUUGGAGAAAGAGUUUUUAACAUCAUUGUGUUAACCGAUUGAAGCAAAGAUGGGUUUUGAACCAUUGGUUUGGUACUGCAAGCCAGAACCAAACAGUAUUUGGUCUAAAACAGUAGAUAGUGCUUUUGGGUCAUAUACACCAUGUGCAAUUAACACUCUUGUUAUCUCAACCUCAAAUUUGGUUCUUAUGGGGCUGUGUUUAUAUAGAAUAUGGCUUAUUAUUUUCAAUGCCAAAGCUCAAAGGUUUUGUUUGAAAACAAAUUACUAUAGUUAUAUUCUUGCAAUGUUGGCUAGUUAUUGUGCUUUUCAGCCUUUGUUGAGAUUGUGGACUGGAAAUUCAGCCUUCAACCUGAAUGAGGAGACUGUUUUUGCUCCUUUUGAGGUAACAGGUCUGAUCAUUGAAUCACUUACUUGGUUCUCAAUGAUAAUUCUCAUCCUCUUAGAAACCAAGGUUUAUAUUAGGCAAUUUAGGUGGUUGGUGAGGUUUGGAGUUAUUUAUGUUUUGGUGGGAGAUAUUGUAAUGCUUGAACUUGUUCUGUCUGUGAAAGAUUACUCUAGCAGAUCUGCCCUAUAUCUGUAUAUUAGCACUGUUAUCUGUCAGGUGUUGUUUGGUAUCUUACUUAUAGUUUACAUUCCUAAUUUGGUUCCAUAUUCUGGUCAUACAACAUUCCAAGCUGACAUACCUAACAAUGGUGAAUAUGAACCACUUUGUGGAGAUGAUCAAGUUUGCCCUGAGAUGCGCGCCAGUUUCUUAUCUAGAUUAAGUUUUGGAUGGAUAACUCCACUCAUGAAACAAGGCUACCGAAAACCUAUCACUGAAAAGGACGUUUGGAAGCUAGACAAAUGGGACCAAACAGACACAUUAAGUGAAAAGUUCCAAAAGUGUUGGGUGUCAGAAUUUCAAAGCUCUAACCCUUGGCUUUUAAGAGCAUUAAACAACAGCUUAGGGAAAAGGUUUUGGUUUGGAGGCAUCUAUAAGAUUGGUUAUGAUCUUUCUCAAUUGGUUGCGCCGAUUUUGCUGAACCAUCUCUUAGAUUCAAUGCAAAAUGGAGAUCCGUCUUGGAUUGGUUACGUCUGUGCCUUCUCGAUAUUUGUUGGAGUGUCAGUUGGUAUUCUAUGUGAGACACAAUAUUUCCAGAAUGUUAUGCGCGUUGGUUUUCGACUGAGAUCAACAUUGGUGGCUGCUAUAUUUAGAAAGUCUUUGAGGCUAACUCAUGAAAGUAGAAAAAAGUUCUCAUAUGGGAAGCUUAUGAAUAUGAUAGCAACAGAUGCCAAUGCAUUACAGCAAAUAUGUCAACAACUUCAUGGACUAUGGUCAGCACCAUUUCGCAUCAUCAUAGCUAUGGUUCUCCUAUACCAACAACUAGGUGUUGCUUCACUUGUUGGCUCACUAAUGCUAGUUCUCAUUAUUCCAUUACAGACAUUUGUGAUUGGCAAAAUGAAAAAAUUGACAAAGGAAGGACUGCAACAGACAGACAAAAGGGUUGGUCUGAUGAAUGAAAUUCUUUCUACUAUGGAUACAGUAAAAUGUUAUGCAUGGGAAACAAGCUUUCAGUCUAGAAUUCAAAGCAUUCGACAUGAAGAACUUUCAUGGUUCCGCAAAGCAUAUCUUCUCUAUGCUUUAAACAGUUUUAUAUUGAACAGCAUUCCAGUUCUUGUGACAGUAACUUCCUUUGGAAUGUUUACAUUACUCGGUGGAGAAUUAACACCUGCAAGAGCAUUCACCUCACUAUCUCUGUUUACGGUUUUGCGUUCUCCUUUAAAUAGUCUUCCAAAUUUACUAAAUCAGGUAGCAAAUGCAAAUGUGUCAUUGCAACGUUUGGAGGAACUGUUUUUGGCCGAGGAACGGAAUUUAAAACAAAAUCCACCAAUUGUUCCAGGACUUCCAGCCAUCUCAAUAAAGAAUGGAUACUUUUCAUGGGAUCCUAAGGAAGAGAAGAAGCCCACAUUAUCAAAUAUAAAUGUUGAAAUACCAGUUGGAAGCUUAGUUGCAAUCAUUGGAGGUACUGGAGAAGGGAAAACAUCACUUAUUUCAGCAAUGCUUGGAGAGCUACCUCUUGUAUCUGAUGGAAAUGCUACAAUCAGAGGGACUGCAGCUUAUGUUCCGCAGAUUUCAUGGAUUUAUAAUGCUACAGUUCGUGACAAUAUAUUAUUCGGUUCAAAUUUCGACCAUGGACGAUAUUUGAAGGCUAUUGAUGUCACUUCCUUGGAGCAUGAUCUCAACUUUUUACCUGGCCGUGAUUUUACAGAGAUUGGAGAAAGAGGAAUCAAUAUUAGUGGUGGACAAAAGCAAAGAGUUUCUUUAGCUAGGGCUGUAUACUCAAAUUCAGAUGUAUAUAUAUUUGAUGAUCCUUUGAGUGCUCUUGAUGCUCAUAUUGCUCAAGAGGUUUUCAGGAACUGUAUAAAGGAAGGGCUGCAAGGAAAAACCAGAGUUCUUGUUACCAACCAGCUUCAUUUUCUCCCUCAGGUGGAUAAAAUUAUUCUGGUUAGUGAAGGCAUGAUUAAGGAGCAAGGAACGUUUGAGGAGUUGUUGAAAUGUGGGCCUCUAUUUCAGAAACUAAUGGAAAAUGCCGGGAAAAUGGAACAAGAAGUAGAUGGUCAAGACACAAAUGAUGUUUUACCUUUGGAUAAUGGGACAAUUGUAGAGUUGGCAAAUGAUUUAAGCUAUGGGAAGAAGGGAAAAUUUCAAAAAUCAGUACUUGUUAAGCAAGAAGAGCGGGAGACAGGCGUGGUUAGCUGGAAAGUUUUAAUGAGGUACACAUCUGCUUUGGGAGGAAUAUGGGUAGUUUCUAUACUUCUUGCAUGCUACACAUUAACAGAAGCUCUUCGAAUUUCGAGUAGUACAUGGUUAAGUGUGUGGACAUCUCAAGAUUCAACUGCAGCUUCUCGUGCCGGAUAUUUUCUUUUCAUCUAUGCAAUAUUCUCAUUUGGACAGGUAUCUGUGGCACUUGCAAACUCUUAUUGGUUGAUCACUGCAAGUCUUCGUGCUGCAAAACGAUUGCACGAUGCAAUGCUAGAUAAAGUUCUACGUGCCCCAAUGAUAUUCUUCCAGACUAAUCCUGUCGGCCGCAUGAUUAAUAGAUUUGCAAAAGACACAGGGGACAUAGAUUCCAAUGUUUAUAAUUUGGUGAAUAUUGUUCUAGGACAACUCUGGCAACUACUUUCAACAUUUGUUCUUAUAGGCACUGUCAGCACCAUAUCCCUGUGGGCCAUAAUGCCACUUCUGAUAUUUUUCUAUGUUGCUUAUAUUUACUACCAGAGCACAUCUCGAGAAGUGAAGCGCAUGGAUUCCAUUACAAGAUCGCCAGUUUAUGCACAUUUUGGAGAAUCAAUGAAUGGUGUGUCAAGCAUUCGUGCUUACAAGGCAUACGACAGGAUAUUACACGACAAUGGAAAAUUCAUGGAUAACAAUAUCAGAUUUACUCUUGCAAAUAUUAGUACAAACCGUUGGUUAACCAUAAGGUUAGAAAGUUUAGGUGGCCUCAUGAUUUGGUUGAUAGCAACAUUUGCUGUGUUACAAAAUGCACGAUCUGAAAACCCUACAUUGGUUGCAUCUACAAUGGGACUACUUCUCAGCUACACAUUGAACAUAACAAGUAUUAUGAGUAGCACACUUAGACAAGCAAGUAAAGCUGAAAACAGUUUAAAUUCGGUUGAGCGCGUUGGAACAUAUAUAGAUUUAGAAGCCGAGGGUCAAAGUAUAAUUGAGACGAACCGUCCACCACCAGGAUGGCCAACAAAAGGAUCAAUUGAGUUUGAGAAUGUUGUUUUGAGCUAUAGGCCGGAACUUCCUCCGGUCUUGCAUGGAUUGUCCUUUGUAGUGUCUUCAAUGGAGAAAAUAGGUGUAGUUGGAAGAACUGGUGCAGGAAAGUCUAGCAUGCUUAAUGCGUUAUUUCGGAUUGUGGAACUACAAAGUGGAAGAAUCAUUAUUGAUGGAUGUGAUAUUUCUACGUUCGGACUAGCAGACUUGAGAAGAGUUCUUACUAUCAUACCACAGUCCCCCGUUCUUUUCUCUGGAACUGUUCGUUUCAAUCUCGAUCCAUUUAAUGAAUACAAUGAUGUUGACAUAUGGGAAGCUUUGGAAAGGGCACACAUGAAGGAUGUAAUCAGAAGAAAUCAAUUUGGUCUAGAUGCUCAGGUUUCUGAAGGAGGAGACAAUUUCAGUGUUGGACAAAGGCAGCUGUUAAGUUUAGCAAGAGCAUUGCUAAGAAGAUCAAAGGUUCUUGUCCUCGAUGAAGCUACUGCUUCUGUAGAUGUUAGAACCGAUGCGCUUAUACAGAAAACUAUCAGACAAGAAUUUAAUUCAUGCACAAUGCUCAUCAUUGCACAUAGAUUGAAUACUGUUGUCGACUGCAACCGGAUUCUGUUGCUAGAUGCUGGAAAGGUUCUUGAAUACAAUUCACCUAAGGAACUCUUACAAAAUGAAGAAACUGCAUUCUACAAAAUGGUUCAAAGUACCGGUCCUGCAAAUGCUGAGUAUUUAUGCAGCUUAGUGUUUGGAAGGAAAGAGAACAAUUCAAAUGAAUAUAACAAGGAGUCGGAAAACGGUAUGAGACAGUUAGCAUCUACAGAUUGGACUGCUGCUACUCAGUUUGCAAUAGCUUCUACACUUUCUUCGUUACAUCAACACCUUCAAAGUCCAAAUACUAAAGACGAUAAAGAUAUCCUUAAUAGAACAUAGGAUGCAGUAGUUACACUGCCGGAAAGCAUGAUGAAACAAUAGAAGAGGCAUUCACUCAAUAUCAUGUUCAUACAGAUAGAUAGUGGUCUACUCUCUAUAAACUCAUUGAAGGAUUUUCUGUCUUGAUCAGAUUGCCUCAGGACAACUUGAGAUGGAAGUUGUAUAUUCGAUGAACCACCUCAAUAAUACGCACAUUCAAAAUUUCCAAUUGCCAUCCUAAAUUUGUUGAAUUUCUGUAAGUUUUGAUUUUCUAAAUUUUUUGUUACAUGAGUUCACGUAAAUUGAGUUCAUGCAAAUCCGGUUAGCAUAAUUUAGCACGUUUUGAGAAUGUAAUAAUGUUAAAAAUUUUAAGAGAAAA